CAAUACAAACACAUCUGUGAGUUACUUUAAUUUGUGAUUAUACUAUGCGAAUCAAAACAAUAUUCGUUAAUUAUCACGAUUCUUGCAAUGUAUGCAGUACUCUUGUCUCGUGUAAAUUGGAGAAGGUUUUAGAUAGAGCCUUUAUCAAGAUUCAUCUUAAAUUAUUUCGUAUCCUGACUGAGCAGUUUGGACCUGCGAGGAAUAUGUUGGAAUAAUAAGUAGAGUAGUAGCGUAUAUAUAACUGCUCUUACUCCAUAAUGGAACUAACCAACCUCAUAAAAUGAAUAGCCUGGUCUGAAUAUAUAUCGCGUGCGUGUUUUAAGGCAAAAAAGAUUAGAGUAUUGAACAUCACUUAAAAGUCGUACACACAGAGAGAAGAAAUAAUGUAUAAUUUCGAUUCCUGUGAUCCUUUUAAAUUGACGCACUAAAUGAUUAGACAGACUAUAAUUUAGCAAUGUGACAAAUUCAUUUAAUGUUACAGGUGUCACCUUUUACUGACGUAGUUUGAUAAAGAGAUCACCUAAACUUAAACUCCCAGGAGUAAAUAGAUACUCGUAUAAAGCUUCGUUUGUAAUUUCCCACAGAGACAAAACCUCGGGCAAACGCUAAUAAUGCAAAAGUUGUUAUAAACACAAGUGAAUGUGUCCUACAUUUGAGAAAACAACGCUCUAAGCGGUCGGCACAAUAAAUCAGAUAGAUAUUUCCCAUUUCUUGUAGGUGAAGCAAAAAAUUUGAAAGCAUUACCUAAUAUUGAAAGAUCAUCAGAAAAAUAUGUGAUCAUUAUGCUAUUGGUGAUAAACCUGAUGAAAUGAAGGCAAAAUAAGAAAGUAGCGCAAGGCAAUGGCGAAUGGUUAUAGAGGUAAAAACAAGAUAAGGUGAAAAAAAUUAAGUGGGUAUGUAUUUCUUUAUAUUAUGUCAUUCAGAGAUUGAGAAACAUGAACCAUUUUCAACACGAAAAAGGAGAUGAAAAAAAAGGAAUGAAUGACAAGUCUAAUUUUAAAAACUAUAGUAGAAGGAAGAAAUAAUGGAGAGAGAGGAAGACCAAGAAUAAAAUAUUUUGCUCAAAGCAAAAAGUAAACGUUAUAACAUACCAACAAUAUAAAAAAACAAUACGGAGAAAAGACAUCAAUGGAGGACGCUCAAUUUAACUCCACCGAUAAAACAAGCUCUGAAAUUUAAGGAGAAGAUUUAUUUCUUCUUUUUUUAAUGACUUUACAGAGGUGACGUCAUAGACCGUCAUAGACAAAACCUCUUUGGUUUUUUUUAUGAUGGGUUAUAGUAUAAUGAGAUGCAUAUAUCCUAACUAUUAUAUAUAUAUAUAUAAUAUAAUAUAAUAUAUAUAUAUAUAUAUUUAUAUAUUAAUAUUAUAAAUGCGAAAGUAAGUUUGUUUGUUUGUUUGUUUGUUUUCUUUUCACGCGAUAUCUACACAACCAAUCUUCUUGAAAUUUCGCAUAUAUAUAGUUCAGAGUAUAGAGAAGGACAUAGGGUACCUUUCAUUCCGAAAACAACUAUCGUUCCCGUGGGAUUAGUGAAAAACCUGUGCACUCUUACGUAGAUGGCGCUAAUUACGUAGAUGGCGCUAAAUGCGCGGAGUGAAUUUAGAAUCAAUCUUCUUGAAAUUUUGCAUAUAUAUAGUUCAGAGUAUGGAGAAGGACAUAUUAUGCCUUUCGUGCUGGAAAAACCUAUCGUUCCCGUGGGAUUUGUGAAAAUCUGUGCUCUCUUACAUAGAUGGCGCUAAAUGCGCGGAGUGAAUUAUGAAUCGAUGGAGAUACAAGAUGGCAGAAUGAUAGAUUAUGACUUGGAGACGUCUGCUAAGAAAGGAAUUUUAAAAAUUGUUUCACAAUGGUGAAAUUCGUUGCAAGUCAACCAUUUAUCGAGUAAGGCUAUAGGCUAUAAAACAUCACGCUGCAACUAUAAGGAGCGAAGAAAUAAUGGAAAAUGUGAAAAAAAAACGGGGAUAAUUAUUCAUCCUUGAGGGCUUUCGUUGCGUGCGCUGCGAAAACGGUUCAAGAUACCAAAAAUAUAUGUAAGAAAGAAUUAUUCCUCUUGAAAUAAUCUAAAAAAAUGUCUGCGACAGUAUAUGUCCAUCUUUUAAGAUAACUCACUAGAACCGUUUUUAUGGUAAUCAAAUUUGGUCGAAAUUAAUGCAUUAUUUGUUAAGAAAGAAGAAAGAGGCGUGAUUUUAUGUAUGUAUUUGUUAAGAGUUGUAUCAACGUAGUAAUAAUAUUAAUCUUUAUCCAAAUAAAUGUGUUGUUGAUUAAGAGUACUUAAUUGUGAACAAAAUUGUCUUUGACAUCACUUAAUUUCAAUGAACAUCUUAGAAGAUAUAACAAUAUAAAAAUAACACAAAAUUCACCCGCACCGCAUGAUGUGCAAAACAUGACGCUGCAAGGAAGACAGGUGUGGCUUGCGAGGUACCUACCACGCCGCGCGGCUCAGAUAUUUUAUAUUUUACGUUACAGUUAUUCUACUGAAUGCCGCGAGGACUAUAAUUCCUGUGGGAUUUGCGAAAGACCCAUGGUCUUUUGUAGGUGGCGAUAAAAUUGCGCGGGCUAAACGGCUUUUUCUCAAUAGGUGGCGCUUUUUUAAAAUAUGGGUUUCAGGAAUUCUCAUAAUUUUUAAUUACGCGAAAUUACGGCAAAAGCAUGUAGAACAGACAAUAUAUAGGUAUGAGUUCCAGUCUUGGUCACUGACUACGCGAAUUAGUUACAGCGGGAUUUUCACGUGAUGCUACAACCAUGAAUGUAGUUUUAAAAAGGUUCUUCGCAAGGAGGAAUACUGUUUCUGCCUUUCCCUAUUGGAUAAUUGGUAUAUUUGGUAUUUAUGUGGAUAUCAGUGUAUUAUGAUCAGCGUUAUUUUUACCAUGCGUUAUGUUACCCAUCUAUUUAUUUAACUAUCUGAGAUACCAAUAAAAAAUAAUGACCUUAUAAGCAUAGGGAAAUUUAAAUUGCUUAUGUAUUUAACAACAACAGAUGUGGAAAAGAUUUGAUUGGGUGUUUUAUAAUUUUGGAUAAAAAAAACAGUACGUCAAAAAUAAGUUUGUACAAAAAUACAUUUAUGAUAACACUUUGUACAGCAUACAAUGGAGAAUAACCACGACAGACUCUUCCACGCGUACGAAGUCGCGGGCAACAGCUAGUUUAGUAAUAAACAUCUUAAGUGUGAGUUCAUACAUUUAAAAUUUUCUACUACCGUACACAUUUAUAUUUUUUUAUUAUUAAAUUUAUGUCAAUUAAUCUGAACAAUGUAUUCUCUCGUCCACAUUUCUAUUCUAAGUUUAGAAAGUUGUAAUGUUGAAGUUGUUAAAAAAAAAAUACUGCAGUGCAGUUUGUUACCGCUUCUUCUGCACUGACGCUUGGGAAGCGGCAGUAAACUUAGUUUUGAGUAAUUUAUUUGCCGUCAACCAAUGUUGUGAAACCAAAAGAUAUGACAAUUAUUAGGUGAUACGAAGUAUUCUAUAAUAAUGAAUAAAAUUUAAACUAAAUCAUAGCAAUAGUAACACAAACACACGUGGAAAAAAACUUUACUACACCAUCGUGGUACCUACCUUCUACAUCGUAAGAAAUCAAUCGUUUAGAGGCGCCCGAUUGAAAUUCGAGAAGGAUAUCGAGCAGAAUUAUUGAGUACUAUUAUAGUGAGUAGGUUUCAAUUAGUAACGAAGCACGUUAAGGGGAAGCUGUUACUGUCAAGUGUCUCUCAAUUAUUCGGAUUUGUACCUUUAUUUAGAUCGUUCUACCUGUCAGACGGUAUUUGUGGUGCAGCGGUAGUGCGUUUGUCUGUAACUGUGUGGUUCGAAUCCCGGCCAGGGCAUGAUGAGAAAAAAAACUUUUAAUACUUAGCUUGAGUCUUGGAUGUUUAUCUACUCGUUUAUAAGUAUUUAUUAUAAAAUAAAGUAUCGUUGAGUUAGUAUCUCUUAACACAAGUUUCGAACUUACUUCGAGGCUAACUUAAGGUGUGAUAUAUUAUGUACCUAUAUAUUUAUUAUUUAGUUGAAGUAAUACAGAAAAAUAAGGUUUACUAUUUUUCCGGCAGAAACUUUUGUGUUCGUUAAUACAUAAAUCCUAAUGUGAUCAUGCGUGGUUACCUAACAUGGGGUAGGCAGUGUCUAUGGAUUUUUCUCGCUACGAUCAUUGUAGAUGAAACGAAUAGUAAUUAAUUAGAUAGCAAUGCACAGAGAAAAGUACUUUAUUGGAAUUUAUUCCAGCAAGUAAAACUUGCACCGUUAAAAAAAAAAAUCACAGCUGUAAAAUAAAAAUGAAAACCAAUUAAAACUGACGAAUUUGAACGAAUUUUCACCACAGCAAACGAAAUAAACUAGACGUAUUUUUUUGCACAAAUCUAUUAAGUGUAUUUCGAUAUUCCUCCGUGUAUUUCGAUAUUGCGUUAGAUAUUCGAUAUAUUAUAUAAGAUUAUAUUAGAUAUUAUACUCCGUGUAUUUCGAUAUUGCGUCAGUUAUUCCCCUUAAGGAGCCACUAUUGAGUUCUAAAUUCAAAUAUUUGAUCUUGCAGCACAGAAAUGUGGUUUGGCAGUGAAACCUAGUUUGCCAGUGGAUGUAUGACUGAGCGAUCCUUGUCGGAUACCUAGAGAGAAAACCUUAAUCAUUUAUGCUAUAUCGGGAUGAUGUGAAAUACCGUGAUCAUUUAUGCUAUCCCAAUUAAUAAACUUUAUAAUUAUUAAUA
Amyelois transitella is the source of this 4679-nucleotide long non-coding RNA. RefSeq lists it as uncharacterized. The transcript has 2 exons. The record is from RefSeq and is a predicted model, not a curated record. NCBI's taxonomy places the organism in Eukaryota, Metazoa, Arthropoda, Insecta, Lepidoptera, Pyralidae.